GGGGUGNCAGGCGAUACGGGCAUAACUAGAGUGCUGUAGGGGAGACUGGAAUUCCUGGUGUAGCGGUNGAAUGCGCAGAUAUCAGGAGGAACACCGAUGGCGAAGGCAGGUCUCUGGGCAGUAACUGACGCUGAGGAGCGAAAGCAUGGGGAGCGAACAGGAUUAGAUACCCUGGUAGUCCAUGCUGUAAACGGUGGGCGUUAGGUGUGGGGACCGGUUUGGUUUCUGUGCCGUAGCUAACGCAUUAAGCGCCCCGCCUGGGGAGUACGGCCGCAAGGCUAAAACUCAAAGGAAUUGACGGGGGCCCGCACAAGCGGCGGAGCAUGUGGAUUAAUUCGAUGCAACGCGAAGAACCUUACCUGGGUUUGACAUGCACCAGACGGUUGUAGAGAUACGUACCUCCCUUUGUGGUUGGUGUGCAGGUGGUGCAUGGUUGUCGUCAGCUCGUGUCGUGAGAUGUUGGGUUAAGUCCCGCAACGAGCGCAACCCUUGUCUUAUGUUGCCAGCACUUUGGGUGGGGACUCAUGAGAGACUGCCGGGGUUAACUCGGAGGAAGGUGGGGAUGACGUCAAAUCAUCAUGCCCUUUAUGCCCAGGGCUUCACACAUGCUACAAUGGUUAGUACAACGCGCGGCAAACCUGUGAGGGUGAGCGAAUCGCUGAAAGCUAAUCUCAGUUCGGAUUGGGGUCUGCAACUCGACCCCAUGAAGUCGGAGUCGCUAGUAAUCGCAGAUCAGCAAUGCUGCGGUGAAUACGUUCCCGGGCCUUGUACACACCGCCCGUCACGUCAUGAAAGUUGGUAACACCCGAAGCCCAUGGCCUNA
RNAcentral lists this ribosomal RNA (823 nucleotides) under uncultured bacterium. RNAcentral's name for it is "bacterial SSU rRNA". It matches the Rfam family "Bacterial small subunit ribosomal RNA", at positions 617 to 1438 of the family's 1533-position model. The record is from RNAcentral.